AGAGUUUGAUCCUGGCUCAGAAUCAACGCUGGCGGCGUGCCUAACACAUGCAAGUCGAACGCGAAAGGGGCUUCGGCCCUGAGUAGAGUGGCGAACGGGUGAGUAACACGUGGGUGAUCUACCUUCGAGUGGGGGAUAACGUCCCGAAAGGGACGCUAAUACCGCAUGACGUUCUGGGUUUAAAGACCUGGAAACCAAAGCCGGGGACCGCAAGGCCUGGCGCUUGAAGAGGAGCCCGCGUCCGAUUAGCUAGUUGGCGGGGUAAUGGCCCACCAAGGCGACGAUCGGUAGCCGGCCUGAGAGGGCGGACGGCCACACUGGAACUGAGACACGGUCCAGACUCCUACGGGAGGCAGCAGUGGGGAAUUGUUCACAAUGGGCGCAAGCCUGAUGACGCAACGCCGCGUGGGGGAUGAAGGUCUUCGGAUUGUAAACCCCUGUCGAAUGGGACGAAAGACCCGGGAGCUAAUCAUCCUGGGAGUGACGGUACCGUUAAAGGAAGCCACGGCUAACUCUGUGCCAGCAGCCGCGGUAAUACAGAGGUGGCAAGCGUUGUUCGGAAUUACUGGGCGUAAAGGGCGCGUAGGCGGCCAUCUAAGUCAGACGUGAAAAUCCCCCGGCUUAACCUGGGAACUGCGUCUGAUACUGGACGGGCUCGAGUAU
Molecule: ribosomal RNA, 663 nt
Filed under: uncultured Acidobacteriota bacterium
Lineage: Bacteria; Pseudomonadati; Acidobacteriota
Description: bacterial SSU rRNA
Rfam family: Bacterial small subunit ribosomal RNA
Source: RNAcentral